CCAGAUGGCUGGAUGGCCGCCCCUGAUCUGCUUGCAGAAAGGGGGAGGAAAGUCCGGGCUCCACGGAAACACGGUGCCAGAUAACGCCUGGCGGGGGCGACCCCAGGGAAAGUGCCACAGAAAGCAAACCACCGGAUCGCGCAAGCCAUCCGGAAAGGGUGAAAGGGUGCGGUAAGAGCGCACCGGUCCUUCGGUAACGCGGGACGCAUGGUAAACCCCACCGGGAGCAAAACCUAAUAGGAAUGGCCGGUCGGACGGUUCGCCGUUGACGACAGGUGCGUUUCCGCACUGUCAUUCGGGUUGGUUGCAGGAGGCGUUUGGUGACAAACGUCCCAGAUGAAUGGCCAUACACCGCGCUUCGGCGCGGGGACAGAACCCGGCUUACAGGCCAUCUGGUAUU
RNAcentral lists this RNase P RNA (400 nucleotides) under Thalassospira sp. RNAcentral's name for it is "RNase P RNA component class A". It matches the Rfam family "Bacterial RNase P class A". Rfam says of the family: Ribonuclease P (RNase P) is a ubiquitous endoribonuclease, found in archaea, bacteria and eukarya as well as chloroplasts and mitochondria. Its best characterised activity is the generation of mature 5'-ends of tRNAs by cleaving the 5'-leader elements of precursor-tRNAs. The record is from RNAcentral. Lineage: Bacteria; Pseudomonadati; Pseudomonadota; Alphaproteobacteria; Rhodospirillales; Thalassospiraceae.